Helianthus annuus (common sunflower) is the source of this 2150-nucleotide long non-coding RNA. RefSeq lists it as uncharacterized. The transcript is spliced from 4 exons. The record is from RefSeq and is a predicted model, not a curated record. NCBI's taxonomy places the organism in Eukaryota, Viridiplantae, Streptophyta, Magnoliopsida, Asterales, Asteraceae.
AACAAAAACAGAACACUCUUAGAUGUUGAAUAAAACCAGUCACAAAUCAAUGCCUGCCACCACUCACCAUCAUCAUAUGCCUACCUUCAAUACAAACAUAAAAUGUCAAUAUAAUCUUUGUUUUCAAGACGCAUAAAUUCAUGUUAACAACUGUACCUGCAUAUGAGAAAGGGACAUCUUUGGGUCUCGUAACGGUGGAGAGGGAAAAAUUAUGAGAUCGGCGAUGGCUAACCGAGAAUCGUGAUCGUCACUUCCGACGUCGGAGGUCAAAAGAAACGGGGAGGUUCCUCCACAAACGCUGUUUUGUGGGGUUCUCAUUGAGAAGAUACAAAUUGCAAUUGACCAGAACAGAUAAUAAACCAAAUAUGAACCCUAAAAUCCCAAUUUCACAUUAGUAACGGGCAUUACCUGUUAAAUUGAACCUGCAGAUCCUUAGCCAUGAGAGAAAAAGGUUGAGGUAGAGAGAAGGAAGGCGAACAUUGAAGUUUGGGAGAAAUGAGACGCUGCAAGAAGUGUGAAUCCAUCAAAAUAAACUCUGCUAAAAACUGCCCAAAUUCAUGAUUUACUUCAGAAAACCCAUAAACGCAUAUACCCGGAGAGAUUAAAUGUGAUGGAUUACUUACAAUUUAGUAUAUCUGAUGUUGGGAUCGGGAAAGAGGACGUACAUGGUCUUUUGGUGCGUUUCAUGGGGAGCUUGUGUCUUCUUCAAUCCAAAAGCGAGUUAGGCUAUAGGGUGUGGGGGUCAUGGUUGGAUCAUGAUUUGCCACAUAGGCCCAUUAUUCAUGCCCUAUACCACCCCCUUCAUUAAAUCACGGUGGUUCGCGUGGAUUAAACCACGACAACCACGUCCCCCCUUUUUUCCAUUAUUCACGCAAACCCUAAUCCCAACAUCAAGAAAACGAUCGCAGCAGCAAAUUAUUUUCCUUUGUUUGUGAUAAUCAAGUUGCACAAGAAAAGAAUAGCAGAUAUUUUGUUAUAUCUCAAUCCACAGGUAUUCAUCAUGAUCAGUAGGAGAAGCAUCUAUGUUUCUAAAACAGGGUUCAACAUUUAUAAUGUGAUACUCAACUUUACACCAUUUAUUGUCUCACAAUGACAUGUUACCAUCAUCUAGAUCAGUGGCGGAUCUAGGAUUCCGACCAAGAGGUACAUGGGAUAGGUAAAUCUGGAUCAUCCGUCGUUCGAGACGUUGGCAUGGACCCAAAGAUGAAGAAGGCGAUAAUUGAUGAUUUGGAUUUUUUUUUUUGGGAGAGGAAGGAGUUUUAUAAACAGGGGGUACCUGUUGUAUGGUCCGCCUGGGACUGAGAAAUCGAGUUUGAUUGCUGCUACAGCUAAUUACAUGAAGUUUGAUCUAUGACUUGCAUCUUAGCUCAUUCAGGAUCAGGCACUUUAGCCGACUGUGGAAUGGCACAUGGAGGAGGGUCGUGUUCAUGGACUCAUGUGUAUACUAGCCGGAGACACAACAAUUGACUUUAGAUGGCGGAAUGACAGAAGUUUUGACCAGAGUGUUUUCACAACCUCAAAGAGAGUUCCUGUCUACUUGGUGUUCCCAUAAUCGUGAGCCCACUGAAGAGAAUAUUGUUGUGGAUUUUAAUCCCACAUCAACUGCUGGACAGGUGUUGGGUUUGACAUCAAAAUUACACGUCCGACAUUCUUCUUGGAAUACCUUUGAGGCUCCUCAAACUCCUUACGCGGUUCAGAGGUCAUCUUUACUAGUCAAAGUUAUAGCCAAUCUCGCAUGUUGUGACCCCGAUCCAUGUGAAGGUAAAUAAUCUAGCCAACAAAAAAAAGUCUUUAGUGCAAAGUGCAAACCCCAUCAACGAUUAUUAUGUUUAAGAAAGUGAUGAUCACAACCAAAAAACGAAAAGGAACAUGUAAUUUACCUUAGGGGGAGCAGACACGUUGCCCUUGUAAAAGUCUUUCGAGAUGGAUGCUUCUAGUUGAUGUAGGGCAACAAGAAUCUAACAUGUGGGCGUUAUACAACGAGACUACGCAUAACCAUCUUCGUUCGGAUUUGAUUGAACAUAUUUGACAAUUUGGUCGGGUUAACAACGAAUAGUUUUUUUCUUAAUUUAUAUUAUGUAGUUUAAAUUUGGAUGUUAUUUUUUUAUUAAUUUGAAUGUUAUGUAGUUUAAUUACAAAAAAUUAUUUAA